UACGUAGGGGACGAGCGUUGUCCGGAAUUACUGGGCGUAAAGGGCGCGCAGGCUGUGCUGCAAGUCAGCUGUGAAAUGUCUGGGCUUAACCCGGGCAUGCGGUUGAGACUGCAGUGCUGGAGUGCUGUAGAGGCAAGUGGGAUUCCCAGUGUAGCGGUGAAAUGCGUAGAUAUUGGGAAGAACACCGGUGGCGAAGGCGACUUGCUGGGCAGCAACUGACGCUGAGGCGCGAAAGCCAGGGGAGCAAACGGGA
This 253-nucleotide ribosomal RNA is filed under the name uncultured prokaryote. RNAcentral's name for it is "partial 16S ribosomal RNA". It matches the Rfam family "Bacterial small subunit ribosomal RNA", at positions 524 to 777 of the family's 1533-position model. The record is from RNAcentral.